GAUCAUGGCUCAGAACGAACGCUGGCGGCGCGUCUUAAGCAUGCAAGUCGAACGGCAAGAGGUAGCAAUACCUCCUAGAGUGGCGGACUGGUGAGUAACACGUGGGUGACAUACCCUUCAGAUGGGGGAUAGCUAUUAGAAAUAGUAGAUAAUACCGAAUACGAGCACAGGGGUUAGAGAUCUGUGAGGAAAGGAGCUAAGGCUCCGCUGAAGGAAUGGCCUGCGGCCCAUUAGCUAGUUGGUGAGGUAAGAGCCCACCAAGGCGAUGAUGGGUAUCCGGCCUUAGAGGGUGAACGGACACAUUGGGACUGAGAUACGGCCCAGACUCCUACGGGAGGCAGCAGCUAAGAAUAUUCCGCAAUGGACGAAAGUCUGACGGAGCGACGCCGCGUGGAUGAAGAAGGCCGGAAGGUUGUAAAAUCCUUUUGAAACUGAAGAAUAAGCGUUGUAGGGAAUGACAGCGUGGUGACAGUAGGUUUUGAAUAAGCAACGGCUAAUUACGUGCCAGCCGCUGC
Molecule: ribosomal RNA, 515 nt
Filed under: uncultured bacterium
Lineage: Bacteria
Description: bacterial SSU rRNA
Rfam family: Bacterial small subunit ribosomal RNA
Source: RNAcentral